CCUGCGGCGGAAUGAAUUUUUCCGAAAAUGGGCUGUUGCGCAGCGUGAUCAUGCUGCGCGGGAACGACCUAACGUUCCCGACUAUGAGCCUCACGGCUCCCUGAGCGCCACGACCCCAGAAGGGUUGUGGCGCUCGGAUC
Molecule: small RNA, 140 nt
Filed under: Burkholderia sp. SRS-W-2-2016
Lineage: Bacteria; Pseudomonadati; Pseudomonadota; Betaproteobacteria; Burkholderiales; Burkholderiaceae
Description: sbcD RNA
Rfam family: sbcD RNA
Source: Rfam by way of RNAcentral